RNAcentral lists this ribosomal RNA (458 nucleotides) under uncultured bacterium. RNAcentral describes it as "bacterial SSU rRNA". It matches the Rfam family "Bacterial small subunit ribosomal RNA", at positions 340 to 786 of the family's 1533-position model. The record is from RNAcentral.
UACGGAAGGCAGCAGUGGGGAAUAUUGCACAAUGGGCGCAAGCCUGAUGCAGCCAUGCCGCGUGUAUGAAGAAGGCCUUCGGGUUGUAAAGUACUUUCAGUCGUGAGGAAGGUGUUAAGGUUAAUAACCUUAGCAAUUGACGUUAGCGACAGAAGAAGCACCGGCUAACUCCGUGCCAGCAGCCGCGGUAAUACGGAGGGUGCGAGCGUUAAUCGGAAUUACUGGGCGUAAAGGGCACGCAGGCGGUUAAUUAAGUUGGAUGUGAAAUCCCCGGGCUUAACCUGGGAAUGGCAUUCAAGACUGGUUAGCUAGAGUCUUGUAGAGGGGGUAGAAUUCCAUGUGUAGCGGUGAAAUGCGUAGAGAUGUGGAGGAAAUACCGGUGGGCGAAGGCGGCCCCGUGGACAAAGGACUGACGCUCAUGUGCGAAAGCGUGGGGAGCAAACGAGGGAUUAGAUACC